UAAGGAAUAUUGGUCAAUGGACGCAAGUCUGAACCAGCCAUGCCGCGUGGAGGAUUAAGGUCCUCUGGAUUGUAAACUUCUUUUAUCUGGGACGAAACACUUCUUUUCUAAGAGGCCUGACGGUACCAGAUGAAUAAGCAUCGGCUAACUCCGUGCCAGCAGCCGCGGUAAUACGGAGGAUGCGAGCGUUAUCCGGAUUUAUUGGGUUUAAAGGGUGCGUAGGCGGCGAUAUAAGUCAGUGGUGAAAUAUUUCGGCUUAACCGAGAGACUGCCAUUGAUACUGUGUUGCUAGAAUAUGGUUGCUGUGAGUGGAAUGUGUGGUGUAGCGGUGAAAUGCUUAGAUAUCACACAGAAUAUCGAUUGCGAAGGCAGCUCACAAAGCCAUUAUUGACGCUGAGGCACGAAAGUGUGGGGAUCAAACA
Molecule: ribosomal RNA, 422 nt
Filed under: uncultured bacterium
Lineage: Bacteria
Description: bacterial SSU rRNA
Rfam family: Bacterial small subunit ribosomal RNA
Source: RNAcentral